Molecule: long non-coding RNA, 327 nt
Organism: Anopheles merus
Lineage: Eukaryota; Metazoa; Arthropoda; Insecta; Diptera; Culicidae
Exons: 3
Source: RefSeq, a predicted model, not a curated record
GUACGGGAAGGUGCAACAUAAAACAUAUUUACGACCUUGCUCGAUAUCUUCCUCCUUCUGCCGGUUUCGUUCGUGGAUUUGGUAGCCAGCCUUCUACCGAGCGUCAUAAAACAGUGUCCCAUCAUCUGGAUAUCGUGCCACAGUAAACGGUGACGAUGACGACGACGACGAUCAAGAGUGAUUUUUGACAAUUUUCACCGGAUGCUUGGUAAACAACAGUUUAACCCGUCAAUGCAGACGAUGAUGAACUGUGGCGUGUAGUGCUUGAUAAUACAGCAUAUUAAGAAGGGCAGCUUUGUAGCCUCUGGUAAGUGUUGAUUGAAAGUA